RNAcentral lists this long non-coding RNA (328 nucleotides) under Androctonus crassicauda. Lineage: Eukaryota; Metazoa; Arthropoda; Arachnida; Scorpiones; Buthidae. The record is from RNAcentral.
CUCCACUUGCCGGACUGCUUUUGCUUGUUCCCACUUUGUGUCUGUAUCUGCCUCAUAAGCUCUAGGAAGGCAGUUGAGGAGGGUGCGGUGUGGCUGUGGGAGCUCGUUUUUUGAUUGGUCCAUGGUGCUGUUGCUUUCUCCAAAUUACGCCUACGUAAAGACACACAAAACCCCACUAGCCUUCAGACCGAUAGUAGAGAAAUGCAGAUCUCCUACCUAUAAUUUGGAGAAAGCAAUAGCACUAUGGAUUGGUCAAGGGGCGAGCUCCUGUGGCCGCGCCGUGCCCUCCUCAACUGCCUUCCUAGAGAGAAUAAAGGCAAUACGAAUC